Molecule: ribosomal RNA, 254 nt
Filed under: uncultured prokaryote
Description: partial 16S ribosomal RNA
Rfam family: Bacterial small subunit ribosomal RNA
Source: RNAcentral
UACGUAGGGGCCUAGCGUUGUCCGGAUUUACUGGGCGUAAAGAGCUCGUAGGCGGUUCGGCAAGUCGGAUGUGAAAUCUCCACGCUCAACGUGGAGGGGCCAUUCGAAACUGCCGUGACUCGAGUCCGGUAGGGGAGUGUGGAAUUCCCGGUGUAGCGGUGAAAUGCGCAGAUAUCGUAAGGAACACCUGUGGCGAAAGCGGCUUACUGGGUCUUUUCUGACGCUGAUGCACGAAAGCUAGGGGAGCAAACGGG